AAUCAACGCUGGCGGCGUGCCUAACACAUGCAAGUCGAACGCGAAAGUGGAGCAAUCCAUGAGUAGAGUGGCAAACGGGUGAGUAACACGUGGGUGACCUACCUUCGAAUGGGGGAUAACGUCCCGAAAGGGACGCUAAUACCGCAUGACAUCCCGCUUUUGAACAGGUGGAGAUCAAAGCCGGGGAUCGCAAGACCUGGCGUUUGAAGAGGGGCCCGCGUCUGAUUAGCUAGUGGUGAGGUAACGGCCCACCAAGGCGACGAUCAGUAUCCGGCCUGAGAGGGCGGACGGACACACUGGGACUGAGACACGGCCCAGACUCCUACGGGAGGCAGCAGUGGGGAAUUGUUCGCAAUGGGCGCAAGCCUGACGACGCAACGCCGCGUGGAGGAUGAAGGUCUUCGGAUUGUAAACUCCUGUUGCCCGGGACGAAAAGCGUCGACCUAACACGUCGAUGUCUGACGGUACCGGGUGAGGAAGCCCCGGCUAACUCUGUGCCAGCCGCCGCAGU
RNAcentral lists this ribosomal RNA (511 nucleotides) under uncultured bacterium. Its description in RNAcentral is "bacterial SSU rRNA". It matches the Rfam family "Bacterial small subunit ribosomal RNA", at positions 32 to 521 of the family's 1533-position model. The record is from RNAcentral.